RNAcentral lists this ribosomal RNA (535 nucleotides) under Podosphaera minor. Its description in RNAcentral is "eukaryotic LSU rRNA". It matches the Rfam family "Eukaryotic large subunit ribosomal RNA", at positions 102 to 651 of the family's 3401-position model. Lineage: Eukaryota; Fungi; Ascomycota; Leotiomycetes; Helotiales; Erysiphaceae. The record is from RNAcentral.
UAACAGCUCAAAUUUGAAAUCUGGCUCCUUUGGGGCCCCGAGUUGUAAUUUGUAGAAGAUGCUUUGGGUGUGGGCCUGGCCUAAGUUCCUUGGAACAGGACGUCGUAGAGGGUGAGAAUCCAAUAUGCGGCUGGCGCCCGCGCCCGUGUAAAGCUCUUUCGACGAGUCGAGUUGUUUGGGAAUGCAGCUCUAAAUGGGUGGUAAAUUUCAUCUAAAGCUAAAUAUUGGCCAGAGACCGAUAGCGCACAAGUAGAGUGAUCGAAAGAUGAAAAGCACUUUGGAAAGAGAGUUAAACAGUACGGGAAAUUGUUGAAAGGGCCCCGCUGGCAACCAGACUUGGGCGCUGUUGAUCCGUCAGGGUUCUCCCUGGGGCACUCGGCAGCGCGCAGGCCAGCAUCGGUUUGGGGGGUUGGAGAAAGACUGGUGGAAUGUGGCUGCCCUCGGGCAGUGUUAUAGCCACCGGUGGCAUGCAGCCCCCCCGGACCGAGGACCGCGCUUCGGCUAGGAUGCUGGCGUAAUGGUUGUCAGCGACCCG